This 455-nucleotide ribosomal RNA is filed under the name Sceloporus chrysostictus. RNAcentral describes it as "partial 16S ribosomal RNA". It matches the Rfam family "Bacterial large subunit ribosomal RNA", at positions 1923 to 2571 of the family's 2925-position model. The record is from RNAcentral. Lineage: Eukaryota; Metazoa; Chordata; Lepidosauria; Squamata; Phrynosomatidae.
UUCAACGGCCGCGGUAUCCUAACCGUGCAAAGGUAGCGUAANCACUUGUCUUCUAAAUAAAGACCCGUAUGAAUGGCUAAAUGAGGGACUACCUGUCUCCUUUAACUAAUCAGUGAAACUGAUCUACCAGUACAAAAGCUGGUAUAACACUAUAAGACGAGNAGACCCCGUGGAGCUUUAAAUUUUAAACCAAGACUAACCAACCACACACGUUUAUUGGUCAAAAAUCUUAAGUUGGGGCGACUUCGGAACAAAACAGAACUUCCGAGCAUAAAGAUAUUAUCUUACCAAGACCAACCAAGUCAAAGCAAAACUUGAUCCAGUAUUUACUGAUCAUCGAACCAAGUUACCCCGGGGAUAACAGCGCCAUCUUCUUUAAGAGUCCCUAUCGACAAGAAGGUUUACGACCUCGAUGUUGGAUCAGGACACCCAAAUGGUGCAGCCGCUAUUAAAGG